UGGGGAAUAUUGCGCAAUGGGCGAAAGCCUGACGCAGCGACGCCGCGUGAGGGAUGACGGCCUUCGGGUUGUAAACCUCUUUCAGCAGGGACGAAGCGCAAGUGACGGUACCUGCAGAAGAAGCACCGGCCAACUACGUGCCAGCAGCCGCGGUAAUACGUAGGGUGCAAGCGUUGUCCGGAAUUAUUGGGCGUAAAGAGCUCGUAGGCGGUUUGUCGCGUCGGCUGUGAAAACUCGAGGCUUAACUCCGAGCCUGCAGUCGAUACGGGCAGACUAGAGUUCGGCAGGGGAGACUGGAAUUCCUGGUGUAGCGGUGAAAUGCGCAGAUAUCAGGAGGAACACCGGUGGCGAAGGCGGGUCUCUGGGCCGAAACUGACGCUGAGGAGCG
RNAcentral lists this ribosomal RNA (388 nucleotides) under uncultured bacterium. RNAcentral's name for it is "bacterial SSU rRNA". It matches the Rfam family "Bacterial small subunit ribosomal RNA", at positions 355 to 755 of the family's 1533-position model. The record is from RNAcentral.